This 501-nucleotide ribosomal RNA is filed under the name uncultured bacterium. RNAcentral describes it as "bacterial SSU rRNA". It matches the Rfam family "Bacterial small subunit ribosomal RNA", at positions 21 to 518 of the family's 1533-position model. The record is from RNAcentral.
GGCUUAGGAUGAACGCUAGCGGCAGGCUUAACACAUGCAAGUCGAGGGGCAUCGGGAGUAGCAAUACUGCCGGCGACCGGCGCAAGGGUGCGUAACGCGUGAGCAACAUGCCCGUAUCAGGGGGAUAAUCCAUGGAAACGUGGUCUAAUACCCCAUAGUAAUUAUGUAAGGCAUCUUAUAUAAUUUAAAGCUUUGGUGGAUACGGAUUGGCUCGCGUGACAUUAGCUGGAUGGUAAGGUAACGGCUUACCAUGGCUACGAUGUCUAGGGGUUCUGAGAGGAAGGUCCCCCACACUGGAACUGAGACACGGUCCAGACUCCUACGGGAGGCAGCAGUGAGGAAUAUUGGACAAUGGAUGGAAAUCUGAUCCAGCCAUGCCGCGUGCAGGAAGACGGCCCUAUGGGUUGUAAACUGCUUUUGUAUGGGAGCAAUAAGGGCUACGUGUAGUCCGAUGAGAGUACCAUACGAAUAAGCACCGGCUAACUCCGUGCCAGCAGCGGC